UCAAGCGCAAGCUUGGUGUUGGGGAUCGCCCCUGAGAUACGGCGGCGGCCCUUAAAUGCAUCGGCGGUGCUGGUCCCAGCCCGGAGCGCAGCAGACAUGCGGCUUCCUGGCGGCCCAGCGCCCGCCGGCCAACCACGUAACUACCAAACGUCGACCUCGAAUCAGGUAGGGAUACCCGCUGAACUUAAGCAUAUCAAUAAGCGGAGGAAAAGAAACCAACAGGGAUUGCCUCAGUAACGGCGAGUGAAGCGGCAACAGCUCAAAUUUGAAAUCUGGCGUCUUCGGCGCCCGAGUUGUAAUUUGCAGAGGAUGCUUCGGCGUAGGCGCCGCCCAAAGUUCCUUGGAACGGGACGUCGCAGAGGGUGAGAGCCCCGUGUUCGGGCGGAUGCCUUCGCCGUGUGAAGCUCCUUCGACGAGUCGAGUUGUUUGGGAAUGCAGCUCAAAACGGGAGGUAAAUUUCUUCCAAAGCUAAAUACCGGCCGGAGACCGAUAGUGCACAAGUAGAGUGAUCGAAAGAUGAAAAGCACUUUGGAAAGAGAGUCAAACAGCGCGUGAAAUUGUUAAAAGGGAAGCGCUUGCGGUCAGAACUUGGCCGCCGUUGCUCGGGGAGGUCUCGCGCCUCCCUCGCUCUUCGGCGGCUGGGCCAGCAUCGGUUCGGGCGGCUCGAGAAAGGUCGCGGGAACGUGGCUCCCUCCGGGGAGUGUUAUAGCCCGCGGCGCAAUAGGGCCCGCCUGGACCGAGGUCUGCGC
RNAcentral lists this ribosomal RNA (749 nucleotides) under Dothideomycetes sp. genotype 336. RNAcentral's name for it is "eukaryotic LSU rRNA". The stretch from base 152 to 749 matches the Rfam family "Eukaryotic large subunit ribosomal RNA", at positions 1 to 600 of the family's 3401-position model. Lineage: Eukaryota; Fungi; Ascomycota; Dothideomycetes. The record is from RNAcentral.